RNAcentral lists this ribosomal RNA (672 nucleotides) under Salmonella enterica subsp. enterica serovar Enteritidis. Its description in RNAcentral is "bacterial SSU rRNA". It matches the Rfam family "Bacterial small subunit ribosomal RNA", at positions 858 to 1530 of the family's 1533-position model. The record is from RNAcentral. Lineage: Bacteria; Pseudomonadati; Pseudomonadota; Gammaproteobacteria; Enterobacterales; Enterobacteriaceae.
CGUUAAGUAGACCGCCUGGGGAGUACGGCCGCAAGGUUAAAACUCAAAUGAAUUGACGGGGGCCCGCACAAGCGGUGGAGCAUGUGGUUUAAUUCGAUGCAACGCGAAGAACCUUACCUGGUCUUGACAUCCACAGAAGAAUCCAGAGAUGGAUUUGUGCCUUCGGGAACUGUGAGACAGGUGCUGCAUGGCUGUCGUCAGCUCGUGUUGUGAAAUGUUGGGUUAAGUCCCGCAACGAGCGCAACCCUUAUCCUUUGUUGCCAGCGGUUAGGCCGGGAACUCAAAGGAGACUGCCAGUGAUAAACUGGAGGAAGGUGGGGAUGACGUCAAGUCAUCAUGGCCCUUACGACCAGGGCUACACACGUGCUACAAUGGCGCAUACAAAGAGAAGCGACCUCGCGAGAGCAAGCGGACCUCAUAAAGUGCGUCGUAGUCCGGAUUGGAGUCUGCAACUCGACUCCAUGAAGUCGGAAUCGCUAGUAAUCGUGGAUCAGAAUGCCACGGUGAAUACGUUCCCGGGCCUUGUACACACCGCCCGUCACACCAUGGGAGUGGGUUGCAAAAGAAGUAGGUAGCUUAACCUUCGGGAGGGCGCUUACCACUUUGUGAUUCAUGACUGGGGUGAAGUCGUAACAAGGUAACCGUAGGGGAACCUGCGGUUGGAUCACCUCC